CUCCACUAUUAUGAAUGGGUGGAGUCUAAGACAAACAGGACAGAGCAGGAAGGGAAGAGUUAGAGCAUGAGCUAAGAAAGUUGGCCUUGGAGGGAUUGACACUGAAAAGUGUUGUGGAAGUUGGAGGGAAGGGGAGAGGCUUAAGGUGUUUAUCUAAAUACUUAAAAGAUAAGAUAAGAGGAUGUAAAUGUAGUAGUAUAAUUAGUCACACUGGAAGAUGGCAGCAAUGCAACAAUUUGGAUGCCAGCUGCCAUUUAGAAACUAUAGAAGAAGACAGUCAGCAAAUUAGCUGACAGUGCAACAUGGUCCAGUGAGUGGCUCUGGAGUAGAAGAAAGGUGUGGGAACUGGGAAAAGACAGAGAAGAAGACUGUCAUAGUGCACUGGACACAGCUGGAGGACAAAGGAGGAAGUAGGCAGAGCCAAAGUGAAGUGUCUGACAAGGCAGCUGCAGCCCACCGAGAAAGACGUGGCAAACAUGGAAGGUCCCACAGAUGGUGGAGCGGGACAGGCAGCACAACCCCCCAGAAAAACAGUGGAGAAGAUGAUCCAGCCAACUGCCAACGGAGGGGCAAGCAAACAAUGAAACAAGUAAGUGUUGCAGCAGAGCAGGAUCGCAAAGUCAGAAAUGUAAGAUCAAAGGUAAAGGGAAGAGGGGCAGAAGAUGAAAGAGGGCAAUAAGGCUGGCUACAUUUGAAAUGAAUGGGUUUCAGCAUUGCUUUCUCCCACUGCAAUGAGGCAUUAUCAAAUUUUAGCUUCAGUGUUACUCAUUCAACAGAUCUGUGAUGGCAACGAAGAUCUGAUUUGUGCAUCUGGUACAAAAAAACCUGAGUGGGUGUGAAGCAUGAUCAUCCCCCUGGCAUAAACAACACUGUCUGAGGAUGAUUACACAGUUGAUUAAACUGCAACACUGUCAAAUGUGAGGAUAAAUGUGCAGUGCUGAUUAUGAUCAACCUUUUCUCUCUCUGAAAUGGGAUGCC
Long non-coding RNA from Monopterus albus (swamp eel), 978 nucleotides. RefSeq lists it as uncharacterized. The transcript has 3 exons. The record is from RefSeq and is a predicted model, not a curated record. NCBI's taxonomy places the organism in Eukaryota, Metazoa, Chordata, Actinopteri, Synbranchiformes, Synbranchidae.